Molecule: ribosomal RNA, 491 nt
Filed under: Lissocarcinus laevis
Lineage: Eukaryota; Metazoa; Arthropoda; Malacostraca; Decapoda; Portunidae
Description: partial large subunit ribosomal RNA
Rfam family: Archaeal large subunit ribosomal RNA
Source: RNAcentral
UAAAAAUUAAAUAGCCGCGGUAUCCUGACCGUGCAAAGGUAGCAUAAUCAUUAGUUUUUUAAUUGGAAACUGGUAUGAAUGGUUGGACAAGGAAAAAACUGUCUCUUUUAUUAAAAUUGAAUUUAACUUUUAAGUGAAAAGGCUUAAAUUAAUCAAGGGGACGAUAAGACCCUAUAAAGCUUUAUAAGUUCAAUAAUUUCAUAUAUUUUUGUAUAAAUAAGAUGUUAAAACAACUUAUUAGGUUGGGGCGACGAUAGUAUAAAAAUAGUAACUGCUUUUUGAUAAAACAAACAUAUUUGAAUUAUAAUGAUUAAUAGAUCCUUUAUUAAGAUUUUAAGAUCAAGUUACUUUAGGGAUAACAGCGUUAUUUUUUCUGAGAGUCCUUAUCAAAGAAAAAGUUUGCGACCUCGAUGUUGAAUUAAAAUGUCUUCAUAGUGCAGCAGCUAUAAAAGAAAGUCUGUUCGACUUUUAAUAUUUUACGUGAUCUGAGU